Long non-coding RNA from Emys orbicularis (European pond turtle), 910 nucleotides. RefSeq lists it as uncharacterized. NCBI's taxonomy places the organism in Eukaryota, Metazoa, Chordata, Testudines, Emydidae. The record is from RefSeq and is a predicted model, not a curated record. The transcript has 2 exons.
GCCGAACAAAGUGAUUUUGAAUAAUGAACAGGGCCGGCUUUAGGCCCAUUCCACCGAUUCCCCUGAAUUGGGCCCCGCCCCUAAGAGGGCCCCGCGCAGCGUCCCUGCCUGAAGCAAAGCUCUGUGGCUCUCCCGGAAGCAGCAGCUGUUGCGGGGGGGGGGGGGGGGGGGAGGAAGGCACAUGUGCUUUGCAGCCUUCCCCUCCCCCCACCACUCACCUGGAGGAGACCCCGAGGGGGCUUCCGGUCCGGUGGGAGACAGGAAUCUCUGCAGUGUGGACCUCACUCACCUGAGCAGCUGCUGGGGCUUCGGUCGAAUAUUGACCAUCAGACUAUAAAGCCCCAGCUCCUGCAGUCAAGUGGAUAUAUGACGAUUUCAGCCUUCAUUCUUAAAGAAAAUGGAACUUUCUAGCCCUCACGGCUGUGGAGAAAGCUUCAAAAAUGAGUCCCUAGUGCACCCUAAAGGCUCAAAAAGCAGAAGGUAACUACAAAGGUUACAAAGCCUCAUGAUUUUUAGUGAGCCUGACAGGAUUAUUCAACAUUUGGGGUUGGCAAUACUGUGUGCUCAAGAGCUCAGCUUAUUCAGGCUGGAUUGCUUCACCCACAUUACCCCAUAUCACCUGGGUGAGCAUCCAACUUCCUCUGUUCGAUGAAGGAGGUGUUACACCAUGGAUUUGAACUUGCUGAGCCUUUUACAUUUUAAGCAUUCAAUCUGCAGAAUUCCCCUGGGAAUAUAAAAAUGGUAGCUAAGAGACCUAAAAAAACACCCACCACCUUCUUCAGUAUAUAAAUAACUUAAAUGUCAAAGAAUGUUCAGUUGAGUAAAAACCAGUAAGUCUGGAAUAGCUUUUUGUCACAGAUUUGAUUUAGAAAGGGUUUCGGUCAUUAAAGGAUUUACCAAAAUGCAAUAA